CCUACGGGAGGCAGCAGUGAGGAAUAUUGGUCAAUGGACGAGAGUCUGAACCAGCCAAGUAGCGUGAAGGAUGACUGCCCUAUGGGUUGUAAACUUCUUUUAUAUGGGAAUAAAAUGUUCCACGUGUGGGAUUUUGUAUGUACCAUAUGAAUACGGAUCGGCUAACUCCGUGCCAGCAGCCGCGGUAAUACGGAGGUUCCGAGCGUUAUCCGGAUUUAUUGGGUUUAAAGGGAGCGUAGGUGGAUUGUUAAGUCAGUUGUGAAAGUUUGCGGCUCAACCGUAAAAUUGCAGUUGAAACUGGCAGUCUAGAGUACAGUAGAGGUGAGCGGAAUUCGUGGUGUAGCGGUGAAAUGCUUAGAUAUCACGAAGAACUCCGAUUGCGAAGGCAGCUCACUGGACUGCAACUGACACUGAGGCUCGAAAGUGUGGGUAUCAAACAGGAUUAGAGACCCUAGUAGUC
Molecule: ribosomal RNA, 460 nt
Filed under: uncultured bacterium
Lineage: Bacteria
Description: partial 16S ribosomal RNA
Rfam family: Bacterial small subunit ribosomal RNA
Source: RNAcentral